This 432-nucleotide ribosomal RNA is filed under the name uncultured bacterium. Its description in RNAcentral is "partial 16S ribosomal RNA". It matches the Rfam family "Bacterial small subunit ribosomal RNA", at positions 29 to 507 of the family's 1533-position model. The record is from RNAcentral.
GCGAACGCUGGCGGCAGGCCUAACACCUGCAAAUCGCACGAACUCUUCGGAGUUAGUGGCGGACGGGUGAGUAACACGUGGGAACGUGCCUUUAGGUUCGGAAUAACUCAGGGAAACUUGUGCUAAUACCGAAUGUGCCCUUCGGGGGAAAGAUUUAUCGCCUUUAGAGCGGCCCGCGUCUGAUUAGCUAGUUGGUGAGGUAAAGGCUCACCAAGGCGACGAUCAGUAGCUGGUCUGAGAGGAUGAUCAGCCACAUUGGGACUGAGACACGGCCCAAACUCCUACGGGAGGCAGCAGUGGGGAAUCUUGCGCAAUGGGCGAAAGCCUGACGCAGCCAUGCCGCGUGAAUGAUGAAGGUCUUAGGAUUGUAAAAUUCUUUCACCGGGGACGAUAAUGGCGGUACCCGGAGAAGAAGCCCCGGCUAACUUCGUG